RNAcentral lists this ribosomal RNA (720 nucleotides) under Bacillus cereus. RNAcentral describes it as "bacterial SSU rRNA". It matches the Rfam family "Bacterial small subunit ribosomal RNA", at positions 53 to 754 of the family's 1533-position model. The record is from RNAcentral. Lineage: Bacteria; Bacillati; Bacillota; Bacilli; Caryophanales; Bacillaceae.
ACAUGCAGUCGAGCGAAUGGAUUAAGAGCUUGCUCUUAUGAAGUUAGCGGCGGACGGGUGAGUAACACGUGGGUAACCUGCCCAUAAGACUGGGAUAACUCCGGGAAACCGGGGCUAAUACCGGAUAACAUUUUGAACCGCAUGGUUCGAAAUUGAAAGGCGGCUUCGGCUGUCACUUAUGGAUGGACCCGCGUCGCAUUAGCUAGUUGGUGAGGUAACGGCUCACCAAGGCAACGAUGCGUAGCCGACCUGAGAGGGUGAUCGGCCACACUGGGACUGAGACACGGCCCAGACUCCUACGGGAGGCAGCAGUAGGGAAUCUUCCGCAAUGGACGAAAGUCUGACGGAGCAACGCCGCGUGAGUGAUGAAGGCUUUCGGGUCGUAAAACUCUGUUGUUAGGGAAGAACAAGUGCUAGUUGAAUAAGCUGGCACCUUGACGGUACCUAACCAGAAAGCCACGGCUAACUACGUGCCAGCAGCCGCGGUAAUACGUAGGUGGCAAGCGUUAUCCGGAAUUAUUGGGCGUAAAGCGCGCGCAGGUGGUUUCUUAAGUCUGAUGUGAAAGCCCACGGCUCAACCGUGGAGGGUCAUUGGAAACUGGGAGACUUGAGUGCAGAAGAGGAAAGUGGAAUUCCAUGUGUAGCGGUGAAAUGCGUAGAGAUAUGGAGGAACACCAGUGGCGAAGGCGACUUUCUGGUCUGUAACUGACACUGAGGCGC